Molecule: long non-coding RNA, 7086 nt
Filed under: Lactuca sativa (garden lettuce)
Lineage: Eukaryota; Viridiplantae; Streptophyta; Magnoliopsida; Asterales; Asteraceae
Description: long non-coding RNA (LSAT_LNC009789)
Source: RNAcentral
GUUCCUGGAGCUUCACCGGUGGCUUGAUACAUGGUGGCGGUGGAGGUGGAGCCUUUGGUGACUUGGUGGAGCUUUUUGGAGCCGAAGUAGUCGGCGAAGACAUGGAGGGAGAGGACAUUCUUUAUGGUCUGAAUUGAUAGUCCUUUUGAAAGUAAUGAAGACAUGGCGGCAUUGUCGACGGCGCAGACGGUGAUUGUCUGCCGGCGGUUGAUCUCAUUGGCGAGGUGAGUGAUGGUGAGGUAGUGGUUGAAAGUGGAAAAUUCGGGGUGUUUGGCGAGGAUGCGGGUGAUGUUGUGGCCGUGUACGGCGGCGGAGAUAGACAGGAGGAGAAGGAAGGAGAGAGAAAUCGCCGAUGGCGUCUGCAUUGCCGGAGAACAGGUGGAGGUGAAGGAUAAGCAGAUUUAGUGAGUGGUGUUUGUGUGUAAAGUGUCAUUAUAUACUCAUGCUGUUUCUCUGUCGGUGUUAUAUAAAAUAACGACAAACAAUUUUGGUAUCUUUUACUAUAUCUUAUAUUUUACAUUUUUCAGUGAUUUAAAAAAAAUUACCAUCAAUCUUUUUAUAAUUUAUAAAUUUUUUUAAAUGGUAUUUCACAUACUAAUUAAUAGUUUAACAUACCAAGUGUUAACUUAGAUGUGGUAAAUCGAUCGUGUUUUAAUAUGUUAAUUGUGAUUAUGAAAUAUAUUAUUAUUAUAAUGGUAAUUUAAAGUUUCACAUAAAAUAAUGUGAACAGAUUUAUAUGCUAAAUGUGUAUAUUUAGGAUAUACCCUUUUAACUCAUUUUCAUGUUAUUUAAAAUUUUAUAAGUUAUUUAUUUGACCUAUACAAAAAUAUCUGAUUCAGCUUGGGUUGUUAACAUAUGGUGAACAUUUUCUUAAAAAAAUAUAAACUUAGAACUAUUGAUGAUGUUAGUGUCAUCUAAUUUUUUUAGUAUAAUAAAGAUUAGUCAAGAAAAAUUGAUGUUAGGUUUAGCUAUAUUGCGAGUUUUGAAGGGUACAAAAUGCAUGUUCAAAUUAACUGAAUUGAUGUUAGUUUUAGCUAUUUUGAGAGUUUUGUAGGGUACAAAUUGCAUGUUCAAAUUAAUUGAAUUGAUUUCGUGAAUGUUUUUUCUUUCAUACACAUUUUCUCUACAAUGAUUAUCUUGAAAAACAUAAACUUGUUUCACAGAUUUUGAAAUAUCAAAGUUCUUAUAAAUAAAUCUAACCCUACUUUUCUAACAGUUUUAUUUUGUAAAUUAAAAACAAUUUGAGUUCCAUCACCAAAUUCAUUCAUCACAAAGUUUUAUACUCUAUUCAAUAAUGUACGAUUUCAAUAUUAUCACAAAGUACGAUAUUUAUAUAAUAAAAUAGCAAAUUUUCAUUUAUUACAUAGUUUAAUAUAUUUGGACGUGUAUGUGUUAUUAGGCAUCGAAGAAUCAAAUUUGAGACCAAAUAUACACAAAAUAUUUGGACUUAUUAUCAAAAAUAUAUCUUAACAGUUAUACAUAUAUCUAAAAUAUUUUUUGAUAAAAUAAAAUACACAAACAUCUUUAAACCAUAAUUAACAUUAUUUGUGAAUACAUUUUUUUUGAUAAUAACAACACUAAUAAUAAUUAAAAAUAUAUUAUAAUGGAGGAAGUGAAUUCCAGACUGUUUCAUAGAAAUCAUUUGGGGUGCCCAUCACCAUCAAUGUGAAAUAAUUUGAUGUAUUAAAAUAUAUAAUAGUGGCACCUGAAUGUUAAAAUUUUCAAAAUACGUACACCAAAUUCCAUUGAUUUCAUUAAAUUAAUUAUUUAUAUAAUUAAGUUUAACAGCAUCGGUUAAAUACAAACAACCGUAUCACUGUCAGAUUGUCCACAUCCACACCCUCCAACUAUUUUGUAUUUUCAUCCAACCUCUCUCUCUUUGGUGGCCCAUGACACAUUAUGUCUAUGCAUUUAUCUAAAUAUCACAAGACCCCCUUGACUAUUUUGGUCUUUUUUUUGUCAAUUUUUUUUUCUAAGACAAUUAUAAUUCCAACCAAAAAAUAAAUAAACCAUCAUUUCUAUGUUAGAUAAUUUAAUUUAUGCUAUUUAUAUAUGAAAUUGAUAAUUGUAUUUUGUUCGGUCGAAAUUUAUUAUUUCUUUUUAAAAAAUAACAUGUGAAUGAUGAAAAUUGUUUACUCCAAAUAACUUAUAUGAAAUAAAAAUAAAAAGAAGAAUCAUCAAAUCUAGUGAAGUUUGAUAAGAAAGCCACGUAAUUUUAGUAUUUCAUUGAAUGUCUUCACAAUGAAAGUCUAGUGGUUGAAUAGUCAAAUUCUACAUUGGAGGUCCAAAGUUAAAACUAUGACAUACCCAAUAUAAUACCAGUGUUCUGCGAGUAACAUUGCAUGUGGGUUUAGGAUGGGUUUAUGUGAGCCGUUCAAAUGGUUUAAUUUAUCAUUUUUUUAGUAUCAAAUUGAGUAAUUUCUUAAAGUAAUUCGACUCAUUUGUGUAAUUGAUAAUAUGUUGGUACCUUUUUUUAUGUUGAUUAUAAUAGCAACUCUAUUUAAUUAAAAAUUUGAUAAUCUUAUUAUGUAUUUUUACAAUUCACUAUCCUUUUUGCUUAAGUUCCAUAUACAAAUUGAUAAAUUUCUAACCACCAUCACUACCAACUUUUAAAUCUAUAAAUAUAUUUGUAAUUUCAAGCAAAAAAAAAAGCCAUAUGGUCAUAUUAUUUAUGGGGUAAAGUGGUCUUUAUUAUACCUAGAGGAACUUUGUUUUACUAACCUCAUUAGCUUGGGGGUAAAUUUAAAACUUCAUCACUAAAUGGUGUGCCCUCAAAAUUGGAAAUCGUGGGACCCAAACAAGUGUCGGUUGUAAUAAUUAAACAGCCAUUUUUGAGGAUGCUAUUUUUAUCGAUGCAUAUUUAUUAUUUAAUCAAUAAAUGUUUCUACUACCAUGAUUUAAGUAAAUUCGGGUUAAUAUUUGCAAAGCAAAAUGGACAACAUCUUUAUAUUGGUUGCGACAUGUCCUUUAAAAAAUAAAAUGUUAAAAUUAAAAACCAAAAUGCUUAUAUUCAGAUAUUCCAGAAUAUAUGAUGUAUCAAUUAUUUUACAACCCUCCCAAAUUGCCAGCCUGUCCAUGCCGACUACCAACCGUUGGCAUAAAAACCAAAAUUGUAACGUUGUUUGCUAACUUUGGGGUUUAAUACAAACAUAAAAAAUAAUAUAUUUUAUAUGUUUUCAUUUGCCCACGCCUUUAUUUAGGAUAAUAUUUCUAUAUUUAUUAUUAUGGAAAUAUGUUAUCACCUAGAGAGAAGUGUAUGGCAAAAACUAAGGCUCAAUAUGAUCAAUGAGGCGAAUAUAUGACUCAAAUCGGUUUCAACUUAGUCUCGUGAGGCCAAGAUGAAACUGCUUUGAGCAAUUAGACAUGAAAUAAAAAUCUUUUUUAUGGGUCGAAGUUGCUUCAACUAAUUCUCGCAGGGCUGAUACAAAAUUGCUUGGGCCAUCAGGUGCACAAAUCUUCUCAAAAUUGUAUUUUUUUUUUCAAUUUGCGGAAUGGUUGUGCAUAAGAAACAUUGCGUAUCACCCAAAACCAAUAUUCCACCUAGAUACCAAUGCACCCACAACCCCAAAAAAAUCAAAUAAACUAAAAUUUCGCGAGUCACACAUGUCGGACUGAUAUUUCUCGACACGACCCUUGACACGACACGAAAUAAACGAGUUUAGGUUGAGUUUUUCAACCCGUCAACUUGCCAACCCGUUUAUUAAACAUGUCAUAUAUGAGUUUCUCAAAAAAAUAUACAGGUUGACAUGCCAACCCGUUUAGAACUUUAAUAAAUAAAAUUAUAUAUUUUUUAAACGUAUUAAGUAUUAUACACUAUACAAUCCAUACUUUAUACUAGGAUAAGAUACCAAAUACCAUUGACCAUUUGACCCAUGGCUAACCAUAUGUUGAUUUGCAUUGCAACAUGUUUGAUGUUUGCCCUAAAUAAUCUUAGUAUCUCACAAGAAUGACAUCAUGCAUUGUUGAAUCAUUAUCGAAUGACGUCGACGCCUGCAAUUUAAUUUAUCUAUAUUUGUAUUAAUGUUUUAGUUUGAACAUGAUUCCAUUAAUGUUUUUGAUUUUCAUUCGGAUGUUUAAGACUUGAGUUUCUAAAAUUCAGUUAUGUUUGCAUCAAGAAUUUAUUCAUGUUUAAUUAUCAAUUUUAUUUAUGGAAUCAGGCUGACGAACACACAAACCUAAAUCCGACCCACGAACCCACAAAUCCAAAUUUGAACUACGAACCCACAAACCCAAAUCUUACCCACGAACCCGCUAACUUGUGAAUCCUUAUAAAUAAGUGGGUUAACGAGUCAUAUAUGAGUUUAUGUUCCAAACCCAUUAACCUGUGCUAUUAAAUGGGUCGUAUUCAGGUUGAUAUAUUUUGACACGUCAACCCGCCAACCCGCGACACACCAACCUGAUAUGACACAAUUGCCAAGCAUACCCACAUGGUUGUUUAUUGUUAACGAAGCAGAUCACAAACUUUAAAAGAUACAACCAUAACAACAACUGAAAAGAAUCCCAAAAUUCAAAGUUACUUCAAAAGUAACCCCCAAAGUCGAAUAAGCAUUUGUUCAAAAAUUCAAAAUAUUACAAAUGUCAACCUGAGCUAGCUUCGACAUGUCCAUCACCCUGAUUACACUUGCAUUAUGUCUCGAAAAUGGUCGAACCCAAACAAAUGGCAAACCUUAUGAAACUAAACUGAUUAAUCUAGAACACCCAUAAAAUUUAAGCCAAAUUUAAACUUUCAAAAAACAUUUAAAAAUCAAUAGUUACUACAAGUUUGUUUCCAAAAUAGUCUUUAUCAGAUUUUUCCUAGAAUACAUAUCAAAAUGUGAGGAGCGGUACGAUCACGCCUUUGCCUUGCCUCGAUCCCCUGAUGUACCUGAAACAAUAAACUGAAACUGUAAGCCCGAAAGCUUAGUGAGUUCCCCCAAAAUACCCAUACUCACAAAUAUACAUAUUAUCAUAAACACAGUAUACAAUGGGUCCAGUCAACCAUCGGGUUGGAAUACCUCAGGCCCUCAACCAGCAGGCUGGAAUGCCAACACAAUAUGGGUCCAAUCAUCCUCGGGAUGGAAUACCCCAGGCCCUAGGCCCUCAACCAAUAGGUUGGAAUGCCCCGGUCUAUUGGCCUCUGCACGAAGCAGAUAAACCUCAACCACCAAACAGACAUGUGCACAUAUAACAGAUAAUCACAUAACAGUCUACCGGCAAUACUGAUCUAACAGAUCCUACCACAUAGCUCAUCAUAUCAUCAUAUCUUCCAGGAUACCGAUCUAACAAUUCAUACCACAAAUCAUAUAAUAUUAUCCUACCCUCUAGGGUACCAAUCUAGCAGUUCCUUCUAGCAUAACAUAACCAGAUACAUUCCAAAGGGCCGACCUUGGAGCCUUAGACCCUUGAGUAUAGUGAAGAUAACUCACCUUGCAAUGCCGGCUCGCAGGAAUAAUCUCAAACUCUCGGAUCACUAACAUGAACACCACCACCUAUAUUUAUUAUGAACCAAACUCGUAAAUCUCUAAUCUUUCCAAAAUUAUCCUCAAAAGUCAACGGGUCUACUCAUGGUGAAAGUCAAAGUCAUCAGUCAAGGUCAACAGUCCAUGUUGACCUUAACUCGUCGAGUACCCUCAGUUGCUCUCCGAGUUUCUUUAAUACUCGCACACUCGCCGUGUCACCAGAGUGACUCGUCGAGUUCCUAAGGCUCGCGAUCGAAGCUCUGAGACCACUCGUCGAGGUUUCCCGCGUGCAACUCGACAAGUUUAUACACACCUAACGAUUUGGGAAAACCCUAACCGACUCGCCGAGUCUAAGGCAAUCUUCAUCAGACUCACCAAGUUGUUCAUCCAACUCGUCGAGUCCAUGACCAUCUUCAAAUGACUCGCCGAGUCGACCAUGCGACUCGCCGAGUACCUUAACUCCCUCAUCCAUAUAGAAGCUUUUUAAGUCAUGCAAAGGAUCCAAACUGCAGAUCUAAGCUUCUAGGGCAUGAUUAUCACGUAAAGUUGCAAACUUUAUGUGCAUGCAAGAUGGUAUGACCCAAAACAAGCUAAAAUGGGUGGCUUAAGGCAAUGGGAUAGGUCAUAGCUUGGCAAAUACUGAACUUUAUGAUAAAGAGAGGCUAAAGGAGACUAGAUCUGAGGUUGCAACCUCAGAUCUUGACCCAACACAGAGAAUCACCACAAAACCCUAAAAAGGGCUCUAAACCCAACCAUGAGGGGUUCUACUCAGAGGAGAAUCAAGGUAACAACUUGUUACCUUCAAAAUGAUUCCAACCCAAAGAAGAAUCUAGAUCUAAAACAACUACUAGCUCCAACUUCUUGCACUCCAAGCUCUUAACUCCAAAGGAUCUUCUUUCAAGGUCAAGAACACACACAAAAGAGGGAAAAAACGAAUUAGGGUUUUCUGGAUUCAAGAGAGGCAGUAAGAAAGGCUAAGGAGAACAUGUGAUCCUUAAAUAGGGUGCCCAAACCCCGGGAUUUAGGGUUUCAUAUGCCAGCUCCUACUCGUCGAGUCCCUACUUGGACUCGUCGAGUAGAUCACUAAAGAUGCGGACCAAUCCGCUGCUACUCGACGAUUAGGGCUACCAACUCUUCGAGUAGACCUUGAAAUCAAGAGAGUUCUUAUGUAAGUCAAUUACUUGAAGAUAAGGGCAUUACAAUUCUCCCCCACUUGAACUGGACUUCGUCCUCGAAGUUUGCCGAGGUAAACAAUGCCGGGUAAUGCUCCCGCAUCUCGGCCUCCGGCUCCCACAUUCACUCGGAUCCUCUCCGAUGCUCCCACUACACCUUCACCAAUGGUAUCUCCUUGUUUCGCAAUACUUUCAUAUUUCUUUCUAGAAUAGCCACCGACCUCUCCACAUAAUUUAAGCGCUCAUCAACCUGGAUAUCAUCCAAUGACACCACCACCUUCUGAUCCAUGAUGUACUUUCGCAGCUUCAAGAUGUGGAAAGUGCUAUGUACCCGACUGAGCUCCUCCGGUAGCUCUAACCUGUAAGCCACCUUGUCGACCCUGGUAAUGAUCCUGAACGGCCUAAUGUAACGGGGGACCAAUUUCCUUCUCUUCCUGAAGCGGAUAACACCCUUCCUGGGUGAGACCUUCAGGAGU